Molecule: ribosomal RNA, 601 nt
Filed under: uncultured fungus
Lineage: Eukaryota; Fungi
Description: eukaryotic LSU rRNA
Rfam family: 5.8S ribosomal RNA (bases 230-383)
Source: RNAcentral
AGUAAAAGUCGUAACAAGGUUUCCGUAGGUGAACCUGCGGAAGGAUCAUUACCGAGUGCGGGCCCUCGCGGCCCAACCUCCCACCCUUGUCUCUGUACACCUGUUGCUUUGGCGGGCCCACCGGGGCCACCUGGUCGCCGGGGGACGUACGUCCCCGGGUCCGCGCCCGCCGAAGCGCUCUGUGAACCCUGAUGAAGAAGGGCUGUCUGAGUACCAUGAAAAUUGUCAAAACUUUCAACAAUGGAUCUCUUGGUUCCGGCAUCGAUGAAGAACGCAGCGAAAUGCGAUAAGUAAUGUGAAUUGCAGAAUUCCGUGAAUCAUCGAAUCUUUGAACGCACAUUGCGCCCCCUGGCAUUCCGGGGGGCAUGCCUGUCCGAGCGUCAUUUCUGCCCUCAAGCACGGCUUGUGUGUUGGGUGCGGUCCUCCCGGGGACCUGCCCGAAAGGCAGCGGCGACGUCCGUCUGGUCCUCGAGCGUAUGGGGCUCUGUCACUCGCUCGGGAAGGACCUGCGGGGGUUGGUCACCACCACAGUUUUACCACGGUUGACCUCGGAUCAGGUAGGAGUUACCCGCUGAACUUAAGCAUAUCAAUAAGCGGAGGA